GGGCCUGUAGCUCAAUGGUUAGAGCCGGCGGCUCAUAACCGCUUGGUUGGGAGUUCGAGUCUCUCCAGCCCCCCCA
This 76-nucleotide transfer RNA is filed under the name Gillisella vitis. RNAcentral's name for it is "Agrobacterium vitis tRNA-Met". It matches the Rfam family "tRNA". Rfam says of the family: Transfer RNA (tRNA) molecules are approximately 80 nucleotides in length. Their secondary structure includes four short double-helical elements and three loops (D, anti-codon, and T loops). The record is from RNAcentral. Lineage: Bacteria; Pseudomonadati; Pseudomonadota; Alphaproteobacteria; Hyphomicrobiales; Rhizobiaceae.